AAACAGCCCCUAUGUUUUGAUUCUUUGGCAGUUUUGGACCCCAAGGCAAAAAAAAAAAUUGACACGUGGCACCUCACUUAGGGUGCCACGUCAGAGUUGACCGAGUCAACAAUGGACUGGGGGUCCAAAACUGCUAAAUAAUCAAAACAUAGGGGGUUAUUU
RNAcentral lists this microRNA precursor (162 nucleotides) under Medicago truncatula (barrel medic). RNAcentral describes it as "MIR2619 microRNA precursor family". It matches the Rfam family "MIR2619 microRNA precursor family". The record is from Rfam by way of RNAcentral. Lineage: Eukaryota; Viridiplantae; Streptophyta; Magnoliopsida; Fabales; Fabaceae.